Molecule: ribosomal RNA, 303 nt
Filed under: uncultured bacterium
Lineage: Bacteria
Description: bacterial SSU rRNA
Rfam family: Bacterial small subunit ribosomal RNA
Source: RNAcentral
UGGGGAAUAUUGCACAAUGGGGGAAACCCUGAUGCAGCGACGCCGCGUGAGCGAUGAAGUAUUUCGGUAUGUAAAGCUCUAUCAGCAGGGAAGAAAAUGACGGUACCUGACUAAGAAGCCCCGGCUAACUACGUGCCAGCAGCCGCGGUAAUACGUAGGGGGCAAGCGUUAUCCGGAUUUACUGGGUGUAAAGGGAGCGUAGACGGCCAUUCAAGCCAGAUGUGAAAGCCCGGGGCUCAACCCCGGGACUGCAUUUGGAACUGUGUGGCUAGAGUGUCGGAGAGGCAGGCGGAAUUCCUAGUG